AAGAAAAGGUUUAAGUUUUUUUUCCCGAAACCUAAACUUCUUCUCACCCGAACCUUUUCUCCUCUGCUUCUCGCGUGCGACGGCGCCGUUUCUGCCCGAGCGAAGGAAUACGAAGCCCUAGCUUCGUCUCCGGCGGCUGGCGAAGGCCUUCUUCCGGCGAACCUUGCGGAUCCGAGCUCCUCUCGUCGAAGAGAACGCGUGAGCACGGAAGAGAAGCCGAAGUCUUCAUCUCCCCGAAGCCCUAGCUGCCUUCCUCGGCUGUAAGUCCAAGAAAUCGCAUGGUAAGUUGCUACUCACCUGCGGUAAGAGUAGUUCCGAAUUUAAUUUGGAGUUUCCUGGUUUUUGAUUGUUUUUUAGUAUACUGUGAAGUUUUGUUUUGGUGUUUUGGAAUGCGCCGUGAGGAAAUUUCGGGUUUUGCUAGGGGUUUAGUUCUUCUAGUAUUUGAAUUAUACUAUAAGGGUUAUGGUUUAGGGUUUACUGCUAUGGGGUACAAAGGAUCCGAGUUUGAUUGAGUUUCUUUUGAGCUUUCAGAAUAAGUGGUAAGAUUUAGGUGUUUGAAGCUGCUACUGUGAGUUUUAUAAGGAAGAAGAGAAGAGAUUUGAAUGAAUUGAACAUGUAGUUGGCUUCCCAGUUUUAUAAUCUGGUUCCCUUGCCGUGGCACAUAGCAAUCAACCUUUUAACAGCAUGUGCUUAAUAGAAAAUCUGUCAAUGCGCUGCUUAAUAGAACAAUUGAUGUUUGGUUCUUAACAGAAAUCUACCAAUGCGUUUAUUAAGGGCUUACGGUAUCACCCUUUCUAAUAGAUUUUAUUAAAUUGUGCAUGUUCCUAACCUUUAGGAGAUUAUGUGUGGCUAUAGUAGACAGAGACCAAUGCUUAUUUUCUCUUUGCAUUGCUGCUAUAGUAUGCUUUAAGAUUUCAAAUUUUUUUCUGUGCCAUUGGUUUCCUGUAACUAGCGUGCUUUGUUGACCUUGCUUUCAGAUUUUGUGUACAGCUUUGCUUUCAAAUUCCUUUCCGGGAAUUUGAAAGGAUAGCAAGGUUGCUUGAACUUUUCAUUGUAGGUGUUGAGUCCUUCUCCUGUUGGGCAUGGCAUGGGCGGUUAGGUUUAUGGAUUGAAAUAAAGGAAAGGAAAAGAUCUAGCAAGGAAUGUGACAAGGUGGUGCGAAUGGUGUGUGAUGCCAGGACUAUGGAAGUCUUGGAGCUAGAAAAGAGUUCUUUUAGUUUUCUUUCUUUAUUACUAAGUUUUCCAUGUUUUAGUGGAUUGUAAACAUUUGAGAUUGUACUUUAUAGUUCAUGUCAUGUGAGUUUAUCUU
Long non-coding RNA from Zingiber officinale, 1309 nucleotides. RefSeq lists it as uncharacterized. The record is from RefSeq and is a predicted model, not a curated record. Lineage: Eukaryota; Viridiplantae; Streptophyta; Magnoliopsida; Zingiberales; Zingiberaceae. The transcript has 2 exons.